This 391-nucleotide unclassified non-coding RNA is filed under the name soil metagenome. RNAcentral's name for it is "partial contains 5.8S ribosomal RNA, internal transcribed spacer 2, and large subunit ribosomal RNA". The stretch from base 1 to 122 matches the Rfam family "5.8S ribosomal RNA", at positions 35 to 154 of the family's 154-position model. The record is from RNAcentral.
GAUGAAGAACGUAGCGAAAUGCGAUACUUGGUGUGAAUUGCAGAAUCCCGUGAACCAUCGAGUCUUUGAACGCAAGUUGCGCCCGAAGCCAUUAGGCCGAGGGCACGCCUGCCUGGGCGUCACACGUCGUUGCCCCCCCAUCUACUCCUUCGGGAUUGCGGGGGGCGGAUGAUGGCCUCCCGUGCGCCUCGUCGCGCGGUUGGCAUAAAUGCCAAGUCCUCGGCGACGCACGCCACGACAAUCGGUGGUUGCGAAACCUCGGUUGCCCGUCGUGUGCGGUCGUCGCGCAUCGAGGGCUCGAAAAAAUUGCCGGGCUCCGGCUCGACUUUCAACGCGACCCCAGGUCAGGCGGGGUUACCCGCUGAAUUUAAGCAUAUCAAUAAGCGGAGUA